Molecule: long non-coding RNA, 651 nt
Organism: Bos indicus x Bos taurus (hybrid cattle)
Lineage: Eukaryota; Metazoa; Chordata; Mammalia; Artiodactyla; Bovidae
Source: Ensembl
CUUCAGUCUGUAGGCUUGUGUGCCUGGCACACGCAGCUGGGAUUUGAACCCAGGCCCCCCAGCUUGAAAUCCUGUUCUCUCACAAUGUCACCUCUGUGUGCCAGUUCCAUUUGGGCUGAAUUUCUUUUGUGUUAAUAGCCUUUAGUGAAGGAAACUCAGUUUCUUUUAACCUUGGUAAAGACCUUGUUCCCUGUAAGCAAUGGAAAUACUAGCACUCUGUGGUGUAACAGCAGAUACUUUGGCAACAGUGUGCUAAGAUAUGGCAGAACAGUCAUCUGCAGGCCCUGCUUGUAUCAUCCUGCCCUCUGGAACCCACUGGAGUAAGUCUGAUCCAUCUUCCCUGUGACAGGGCAUCAUAAUUUUGGAAGACAGUUAUUCUUAAAGAUGUGGAAAACUGCCCAUUCGUCUUCAUGAGAAGUUAGUUCAUUUGGUCACUCUUUCACAACUGCCAUGUGGUCAGUUGCUGUGCUAAGCACAGGGCUACUGCUUUGCCCAAGAGAGACAUGCUCUUUGUCUUAAUGGAAAUUAAGGUUUAUUUGGAAGUACAUUCAUCGAAGAAGUUAAUACAACAUUGAGUAUGAUGACAAGGCAAGAAACGAUGUGAUGAAAUCUAGCCGGGUCAGAGGACAGGGUCCUAACAAACUGAUACUU